Molecule: long non-coding RNA, 2723 nt
Organism: Acinonyx jubatus (cheetah)
Lineage: Eukaryota; Metazoa; Chordata; Mammalia; Carnivora; Felidae
Exons: 6
Source: RefSeq, a predicted model, not a curated record
UUCCAGCAUGCACAGUGUGGUUUGAAAUCCACAGACAAGGGAGCAUGGCUUCCUUCCUUGGCCUGCUGCCCCACGCGCGGUGAGCAGAGCAGCCAAGCCAAAGUGGCAGCCACAGUGUGGGAGCCCAGCUCUGCUGCCAUAAAUUAGCCAGGGGCAGGAAGGAGCAGUGAGAGUCAGCGGUUUCAGCUACCUAGUAGUUCAUUUUUGUUCUUGUUUUUCAGUUAGCAAUCUGUAAAAUUUAUUGCAAAAUUAAGCUCCCUGCUCCAGAGUCAAUAAUAUUCCUGGUGCCAGGUGGUGUAAUAAUUCACAAAAAGGGCAGGAGCUGGAGAGAAUGAGACUGAUUUAGGAAGUAGACUUCCAAGCCCGAUUUGCUGCUGCCUACUCCCUGCUGCUAAAGGUCAGUCUCAGGUGAAGACUGCUGAAGACAACCUGGUAGACUCGAGAUAAAAAAGAUUAUUGCAGAAAAAGAAGGAUACGCAAGUGGUAAAAGAUACACUUUAACAAGGUCCUGAAAGUCGGCAACAUAGGAAGAAGUUGGGAUCAGAGAGAGAAGACAAGCAAACCUUGAACUGACACUACUGAUUCACAGCCUUAACAUUGUGGAGACAAGAAUGCCUCCAGGUAGGACUCUAAGAUUUCUACUACAAAUGAAGACAAAAUUUUAUCUGAAGUAAAAGAGAGAACAUCUGAGAACAUCAGAGAACAUCUGAACUUGCCUUUGGGGAUCCUGGCACAGAUGGAGUCUUCCUCUUCUGGAUCCAUGGAGGCUGCUCUAGACUGAUGAAGGUUUCCCCAUCUGGAUUUCUAUCUUCAUAGACCUUAAGGUGUUGCCAAUGACCUGAGCCCUGGUGACAUGUGAACAGAAGAGAUGUGUAGUCCUUUAAAGUUGCUGUGACCAAGAAGUGAGACUUCCCAUGGUCUCUUUCCCGUCUUCCAGCUGCACUGAGAGUUCUCUAAGGACUCUGAACAGAGCUGAGCUACAAGAAGAGAGGGAUUGGGCUUCCUGAAUGACCUCAUCAGAGGCUGUAUGACCAGGAACAUAUCCCCUGGACUGGGACAUGAACAGUAAAUGAACUUUCAUUGUAUUAAGCCACUGAGAUUAUAAAUUUCUGAUUCAACUGAGAUUGCUACCCAUUACCUAUCACUGAUACGUUACAUAAACAUUUCCUUCCAUCCUCACUUCCUUUUAAGUUAUCUGACUUAUAAUAUUUUAUGUGUUUUAACUUUUAUAAGGUAGUUAUACAGAUCUUAGCAGUGUGCCAAGUUGUAUAAAUCUGUACUAAUCAGGUUAAGUAGUACUUCCCGGGUUUACUGGCAUUUGUUUUUCUCCUUCUUAGACUUACCCAUUCAUCUCUUGUCCAUUUUCUAUCAGGCUAUUAAUUUUUUCCUAUUGUUUUCAAGGACUACCUUCUUUAUUUUGGCUGUUGCCAGAGUGUACUGGCAUCAGAGCACUUGUAAGAAUUAAUUUAUCCCUUUGCAUGCCACAUGCAACUUCUUCCUAUCUGCUCAACCAUCUCUCUGUACAUGGAGUCUCUUACUAUGAUUUCCUAAUACCUCUCAAUGAGGGUUUGUACGUUCCCUAGGAACACAAUCUGACAUCUCUCUCUCUCCCUCCCUUUCCCUGUGUGUGUGUGUGUGUGUGAAAGAGAGAGAGAGAGAGAGAGAGAGAGAGAGAGAGAGAUCAACUGAUUGAGAUUUACUAAGAGAGUGCACUGAGGAGAAACCUAUAGGGAAAUAAGGAAAACAGAAAAAAGAGAAAGAACAUGUACAGGUAGCUGGCUCAGCUGAAGUCUAACUUCAGCCUAAUCCCACUGGGAGCUUUAGAAUGUGAGGGGCACCAUAGGCUUGGCUAAACCUUGAGGCGAGAGGAUAGAGCUUUUGCACCCUUCAUUACUUGGUCAUUGACUACCAGCCAUCUUUUCUGGAAGGAGUGUAACUUUUUAAGCAUUGCUGGGUACAUUGGCUCCCAGUGGCCAAGGGGAAGUUUUGAAAAGACAUGGCAGCUGUCAACCAUGAGCAGCAAAUUCUCAAGAGUAGCUGGGAGAUAAGUGUACUAGAAGGUAAUGGAAUCUUGAUCAGGCACCAACAGUAUCUACAAUAGUAUGAUACAUUUUUGUGUCACUGUAAGACAGUAAGAACAAGAUAGGAUGGAGCCAAGUGUCUGGUUCCUUUCUUUGGGCUUUGCUCUAAGUAUUCAGAACUACCAAUACUUAAAUGCAUUUUUAAAAGACACAUGUUUAAGAAAACAUUCAAAGACAAAUGUUUAUUUAAACACUCUUGCAUCUUGCAUUUCCAUUUCUCUAUUUGGCUUUUACUGUAUUUGAUGCCCUGGAUAUAUCUGGAACUACAGCUAUGAAGUAGAAAGGACUCAUAGCAACUCAAGAAGCAGCUGCUCCCUGGCUUCCUGCAAGGUCAAGGUAGGCCACACUGCAGGUCCACACCUUGGCCCAGGACUUUCCAUACUGAUCUUUGAAUCACCCAAAAGAAGCCAGAGUCCUACUUUUUGGGCUAUUACAUCAGAUGUGACAAAAUCCUUACUCUGCAGAAAGAAGAGAGACAUUCUGAUAUACAGAAGCCUGGAGCCAGACAGAGUGGGAUAUGAAUGUGUUUCUAUUAGAUCUAAGUUCUGUGACUUGAGGCAUUGGAAGUUACCAGCUGGGUGAAGUGCAGGAAAUAGUUCUGAUUGAUAUUCUGUCCUCCAAACUUUUUUUUAACGUUUAUGC